GACGAACGCUGGCGGCGUGCUUAACACAUGCAAGUCGAACGGAAAGGCCCUGCUUUUGUGGGGUGCUCGAGUGGCGAACGGGUGAGUAACACGUGAGUAUCCUGCCCCUGACUUUGGGAUAACUUCAGGAAAAUGGGGCUAAUACCGGAUAGGAGCUCCUGCUGCAUGGUGGGGGUUGGAAAGUUUCGGCGGUUGGGGAUGGACUCGCGGCUUAUCAGCUUGUUGGUGGGGUAGUGGCUUACCAAGGCUGUGACGGGUAGCCGGCCUGAGAGGGUGACCGGCCACAUUGGGACUGAGAGACGGCGCAGACUCCAACGGGAGGCAGCAGUGGAGAAUAUGGCACAAUGGGCGGAAGCCUGAUGCAGCAACGCCGCGUGCGGAAUGACGGCCUUCGGGUUGUAAACCGCUUUCGCCUGUGACGAGGCGUGAGUGACGGUAAUGGGUAAAGAAGCACCGGCUAACUACGUG
Molecule: ribosomal RNA, 468 nt
Filed under: uncultured bacterium
Lineage: Bacteria
Description: partial 16S ribosomal RNA
Rfam family: Bacterial small subunit ribosomal RNA
Source: RNAcentral